UAUUCGCCUUAACAAAUUCCAUUAAUUUGAUCGCAUGUUAUCUGCUUAAUAGAGGAUAGUAUUUGGAAUAUUCAAGGGUUAGUUGAAUAUAAUUUAUCUAAAAUAAGAGAUGAAUCAUUGUUUUAGGUUAAGGGGAAAAUGCCAUAUAUGGCUCGAAGGUAAUCCAAGCUUUUUUUGUAAAUCAUAUCUCAAAACACUCCCUGAAACUAAUAUUCAAUUCCUAAUCUGAACGUAACCCUGGGUUGUGGAAGUUACAAUAUAAAACUCUCGUAGGCAUUUUAUCAAACAGCAUUGUGGCAGUGUCCAAGUUCUCCAAUGUCCUGACCUACCACAGUGGUAUACAAGUUUCCCAAUUUAAUAUACCUAAAGAGAAUAUCUCAAUGACAUUCCUCACUCGAUGUACAAUGUGCAUCACGGUCUCCAUUGAUCAACGACUUGCAAGCAACUGUUGUGCUGGUGGAAUCUCAAUGAAAAAACUGGAUUCCACAUAUAUUGCAAGAUACCCAUCCAAAGGUGGAGUCACAACAGAAGGCUCCCUCUUGCCAUCAACUACACAUGAUAAUUCGCGAGGCUGUUCGGAUGAUUAAGCUGAAAAUUCUAUUAGAUUUAUGGAUU
RNAcentral lists this long non-coding RNA (615 nucleotides) under Phoenix dactylifera (date palm). Its description in RNAcentral is "long non-coding RNA (PDAC_LNC000646)". The record is from RNAcentral. Lineage: Eukaryota; Viridiplantae; Streptophyta; Magnoliopsida; Arecales; Arecaceae.